GACAGAGGGUGCAAACGUUGCUCGGAAUUACUGGGCGUAAAGCGCGUGUAGGUGGAUUGGCGUGUCAGAUGUGAAAUCCCUGGGCUCAACCCAGGAACUGCACCUGAAACUACCAGUCUUGAGUGGUGGAGAGGGAAGUGGAAUUCCUGGUGUAGAGGUGAAAUUCGUAGAUAUCAGGAGGAACACCAGUGGCGAAGGCGGCUUCCUGGACACCAACUGACGCUGAGACGCGAAAGCGUGGGGAGCAAACAGG
RNAcentral lists this ribosomal RNA (253 nucleotides) under uncultured bacterium. RNAcentral's name for it is "partial 16S ribosomal RNA". It matches the Rfam family "Bacterial small subunit ribosomal RNA", at positions 524 to 776 of the family's 1533-position model. The record is from RNAcentral.